This 253-nucleotide ribosomal RNA is filed under the name uncultured bacterium. RNAcentral describes it as "partial 16S ribosomal RNA". It matches the Rfam family "Bacterial small subunit ribosomal RNA", at positions 524 to 776 of the family's 1533-position model. The record is from RNAcentral.
GACAGAGGGUGCAAACGUUGUUCGGAAUUACUGGGCGUAAAGCGCGUGUAGGCGGCUCUGCAAGUCGGGUGUGAAAUCCCAUGGCUCAACCAUGGAAGUGCACUCGAAACUGCAGGGCUAGAGUCCUGGAGAGGAAGGUGGAAUGCUUGGUGUAGAGGUGAAAUUCGUAGAUAUCAAGCGGAACACCGGUGGCGAAGGCGGGUCUCUGGAACGCAACUGACGCUGAGACGCGAAAGCGUGGGGAGCAAACAGG